This 2496-nucleotide long non-coding RNA is filed under the name Gossypium raimondii (Peruvian cotton). RNAcentral describes it as "long non-coding RNA (GRAI_LNC006758)". Lineage: Eukaryota; Viridiplantae; Streptophyta; Magnoliopsida; Malvales; Malvaceae. The record is from RNAcentral.
GAAGUAAGUAUAAUUAUAAAUUUUACUUUAACCUUUUUUAACAAAACAUAACAUUUCAGUUCAGUUAAAUGUAAGAAAAAUAAACUAAGUUUCAUAUGGCUGUUAAUUAUAUAUAUACAGUACAUUAAAGUACGACUCCCAAAAUUUUAUUUAGCCUAUAUAUGCCAUAAGUUAAAAUUUAAACGUUUUAAUACCGAGAUAGUAGAUAGAGUGAUGAUCUUCGCUAACAAUCCCCGAGUCUGCAGAUUGGUUUUUAACUAUAAAACAAAUGGACAAAAACAAUCAAAGUAAGCUUUUAUAGCUUAGUAAGUUUAUAGCAUAUCUAAAAUACAUAUAAACGAACAUAUGUAUAAACAUUAUAUGCUUAUAAUCAAGUUACAGACAUAAUCAUUAAUUGCAUAUACUAAUUUCUAAUAUACUUAUCAUUUGCAUUUCAUCGAAUGCAUAUCUAUGAUCUUUCAAAUACAUAAGUCAAAAGCUUAUAUUUUUACUUAUCAACUACAUGAACCAAAUGCACAUUUAUACUUCUAAUCCACAUGUGCCGAAUGCAUACAUGUAUAUUUAACAAUUUUCAUAACAACCAAUAUAUGUGCCUAUUCACUAAACACAUAGAUCCAAACUUUUAUAUGUUCAUCAAAUACAUAUAAAUAAAUGUUCAUACACUUAUCCAUUACAUAUAACCAAAAUCAUAUGUAUAUAUCAAAUGCAUAUAAUCACUUAAUUUAACAGAUUCACCGGCACUUAGCCUGCUAGGCUUAUAGCCUGAUUCUGGCACUUAACCUGCUAGGUUUAUAACCUGAUUCAGAUCACCGGCACUUAGCCUGCUAGGUUUAUAACCUGAUUCAGAUCAUCGGCACUUAGCCUGCUAGGUUUAUAACCUGAUUUAGAUCACCGGCACUUAGCCUGCUAGACGUAUAGUCUGAAUAAUUUCACUGGCAAUAAAUCCGAUUGGUACUGAGCUUUAACAAAAGAAUUUCAAUUCACAGAAGUUGUAUCUCAUAUUUGUAUAUAAAAUCCACAUAAAAUUCAGCUCAAUAUUCAUAACUUAUAUCUUUAAAACACAUGGAUAUAUAUAAAUCCCAAUCAUCAAAUCUAACUUAAAUAAUUCAAUAAUUCAACCGAAACACAUUUAUAUAUAUAUAUAUAUAUAUAUAUAUAUAUAUAUAUAUAUAUAUCCGCAUACGUGAGAUUCCACUACUAAUAUCAUAAGAUUUAACUUAUAAUAUACUAUGUACUUUUAACAUUUGAAUUUCAUAUAUACCUAUAUAAUUUCAUAUACCUUUUCAAUACAAGAUCUUAUACAUGUACAUAUAUACAUAUUCGAAUCUAACAAAUAUAUAUUACUCUAUGCUUAUAUUCGAAACAAGAACUUGUACUUUUAUACAUUAUACACAUACAUAUUCGAAAUUAACACACAUAUAUAUAAAUAUAAUUUCAUACCUAUACUUAAUAUAAUUAUUUAUUCAUAUAUAUAUAUAUAUAUAUAUAUCUGCGUAUGCAAUCCAACUUAUACAAAUAUUUGAUACAUAUAUAUAUAUAUAUAUAUAUCUUUAUAUAUAUCUCUAUUCGAAUAUCAUGUAAACAUAUAAAACAAUUAACAUUAACUAAAUUAAAACUUUAUUGACAUAUAUACAUACCUAUGUUCGAAUACAUCACAUGCCUAUAGUUCCAUACCUAAAUUAUUUACAAAGACAUUGAUGUAUAUAUAUUUGUAUAUUCAUACUCAUCCGAACCUAACACAUAUAUAUACAUAAUUUUCAUACUUCUCAUUCGACUUAUAUACUUUUAAUUUUAACUCAACAUAAAUACAUUUGAUAUUCAUACAUGUAAUAUAAACUGAUUUAAUAAAAUUAAAUAGCUAAUAAACUUACCUCGGAUAUCAACGGACACGAUCGACUAUUCAACUACUUUCGUUUUUCCCCGAUCCAAAUCUGUUUUCUUCGUUUCUCGAUCUAAACAUAUUCAAAUUUAAUUUUUUUUAUUCAUAAAAACAUUCAAUUAAAUCCAAAAAUACAUAAAUGGGCAAAUUACUAUUUUGCCCCUAACAUUUUACACUUUUUACAAUUUAGUCCUAUUUGCUCAAAACACAAAAUAUACAAAAUUUGACUACACUCCUUUAGGGCCUAAUAUUCCUAGUAUCUUUACAAGCCCAUACAUUUCAUUUAUUUCACAUUUUAACCCCUCAAAAAUUUAUUUUUACAAUUUAACCCUAAUUACUCAAAUUCAUCAAAAAUUCAAAGACAAAACAUAUUAAUCUUUCUCAUAUCUUUCAUAUUUCAUCAUCAACUAUCACAAAGCUCAAGCAUUCAUCAAUGGUGCAUCUCAAAAUCAUCAACAAUUCAUAAAAUUAAGGCAUGGGUUUUAAAGUAUUCGAAACAACGAUCUCAAAAACGUAAAAAUUAUCGAAAACCGAACAAAAACGAACCUUGAAUUUAAGCUUGAAUAUGACUGAAACUUGACUAAGCUUUAAUGGCUUUCUUCCUUCUUGGUUUCGGC